GGGCUGUAGAAAAGGUCAGCUCAUCCUUAGAGGGAGGAAGAGGCCUCUUGGCUAAACAACACGCAUAUGGCAAAGGCAUCGCCACCUCUAUUGUGGCAUUGAACCACUGUACCCA
This 115-nucleotide non-coding RNA is filed under the name Mus caroli (Ryukyu mouse). The record is from RNAcentral. Lineage: Eukaryota; Metazoa; Chordata; Mammalia; Rodentia; Muridae.